This 492-nucleotide ribosomal RNA is filed under the name uncultured bacterium. RNAcentral's name for it is "SSU rRNA". It matches the Rfam family "Bacterial small subunit ribosomal RNA", at positions 26 to 518 of the family's 1533-position model. The record is from RNAcentral.
AGGACGAACGCUGGCGGCGUGCUUAACACAUGCAAGUGGAGCGACGAACCAGGGCUUGCCCUGGGGCAGAGCCGCGAACGGGUGAGUAACACGUGGGUUACCUGCCUUGAUGACCGGGACAACCCGAGGAAACUCGGGCUAAUACCGGAUGUGCCCGCAAGGGGAAAGGAAGCUUCGGCCUCCGCAUCAAGAUGGGCCCGCGGCCCAUUAGCUUGUUGGUGAGGUAACGGCUCACCAAGGCUACGAUGGGUAGCUGGUCUGAGAGGACGAUCAGCCACACUGGGACUGAGACACGGCCCAGACUCCUACGGGAGGCAGCAGUGGGGAAUCUUGCGCAAUGCGCGAAAGCGUGACGCAGCAACGCCGCGUGGGGGAAGAAGGCUUUCGGGUUGUAAACCCCUUUCAGUUGGGACGAAGCUUCGCCGGUGAAUAGCCGACUGGAGUGACGGUACCUUCAGAAGAAGCCCCGGCUAACUACGUGCCAGCAGCCGC